UGGGUAACCUGCCUCAAAGAGGGGAAUAGCCUCCCGAAAGGGAGAUUAAUACCGCAUAAUAUGUUUAAGUCGCAUGACUUUAACAUCAAAGGAUUUUCUUUUAGAAAUUCCACUUUGAGAUGGACCCGCGGCGCAUUAGCUAGUUGGUGAGGUAACGGCUCACCAAGGCAACGAUGCGUAGCCGACCUGAGAGGGUGAUCGGCCACAUUGGAACUGAGACACGGUCAGACUCCUACGGGAGCAG
Molecule: ribosomal RNA, 244 nt
Filed under: uncultured bacterium
Lineage: Bacteria
Description: partial 16S ribosomal RNA
Rfam family: Bacterial small subunit ribosomal RNA
Source: RNAcentral